UUCUUGCCAGAAAGUUUUCCUUGUAACAAGA
This 31-nucleotide non-coding RNA is filed under the name Homo sapiens (human). Lineage: Eukaryota; Metazoa; Chordata; Mammalia; Primates; Hominidae. The record is from RNAcentral.